RNAcentral lists this ribosomal RNA (495 nucleotides) under uncultured Mucilaginibacter sp. Its description in RNAcentral is "bacterial SSU rRNA". It matches the Rfam family "Bacterial small subunit ribosomal RNA", at positions 15 to 507 of the family's 1533-position model. The record is from RNAcentral. Lineage: Bacteria; Pseudomonadati; Bacteroidota; Sphingobacteriia; Sphingobacteriales; Sphingobacteriaceae.
UAUCCUGGCUCAGGAUGAACGCUAGCGGCAGGCCUAAUACAUGCAAGUCGGACGGGAUAGAAGAGCUUGCUUUUCUUGAGAGUGGCGCACGGGUGCGUAACACGUAUGUAACCUACCUUAAUCUGGGGGAUAGCCUCUCGAAAGAGAGAUUAACACCGCAUAACAUUAUUGAAUAGCAUUAUUUAAUAAUCAAAUAUUUAUAGGAUUAAGAUGGGCAUGCGGAACAUUAGCUAGUUGGUGUGGUAACGGCAUACCAAGGCUACGAUGUUUAGGGGAUCUGAGAGGAUGACCCCCCACACUGGUACUGAGACACGGACCAGACUCCUACGGGAGGCAGCAGUAAGGAAUAUUGGUCAAUGGACGCAAGUCUGAACCAGCCAUGCCGCGUGCAGGAAGACGGCCCUACGGGUUGUAAACUGCUUUUGCAGGGGAAUAAACCUUCGUAUGUAUACGAAGCUGAAUGUACUCUGAGAAUAAGGAUCGGCUAACUCCGUG